CGCCCUCAUCUGGUAGAUUUUAGCCGUUGGCACAACAGGGAAUGCCGAACGCUCCGGCCCUACAACCGGGCGCCAGUCGGCAGCGGCCCUCGCCACUGUAAGCCCCGCACGUUUCAACGACGCCGCGUCGACACACCCACUGCCCCACCACCUGGAGGCGGGAAGGGUCCGAGGUCACACCACAGCCGGGCAAGCCAGGACACCUGCAACCAACACGCCUUAUAA
RNAcentral lists this non-coding RNA (225 nucleotides) under Corynebacterium argentoratense. The record is from RNAcentral. RNAcentral also lists the same sequence under 1 other name. Lineage: Bacteria; Bacillati; Actinomycetota; Actinomycetes; Mycobacteriales; Corynebacteriaceae.